RNAcentral lists this ribosomal RNA (253 nucleotides) under uncultured bacterium. Its description in RNAcentral is "partial 16S ribosomal RNA". It matches the Rfam family "Bacterial small subunit ribosomal RNA", at positions 524 to 776 of the family's 1533-position model. The record is from RNAcentral.
GACAGAGGGUGCGAACGUUGCUCGGAAUUACUGGGCGUAAAGCGCGUGUAGGCGGCCUCGCGAGUCGGGUGUGAAAGCCCGGGGCUCAACCCCGGACGUGCAUUCGAUACUACGAGGCUAGAGUCCUGAAGAGGAGGGCGGAAUUCCCGGUGUAGAGGUGAAAUUCGUAGAUAUCGGGAGGAACACCAGUGGCGAAGGCGGCUCUCUGGACAGGCACUGACGCUGAGACGCGAAAGCGUGGGUAGCAAACAGG